Triticum dicoccoides is the source of this 577-nucleotide long non-coding RNA. RefSeq lists it as uncharacterized. The transcript has 3 exons. NCBI's taxonomy places the organism in Eukaryota, Viridiplantae, Streptophyta, Magnoliopsida, Poales, Poaceae. The record is from RefSeq and is a predicted model, not a curated record.
UGCCCAACUCUACAAAAGCAUCUCCCUCAGGUCAAACAAGUAUCUCCACUUGAAGCAGCAGGCAAACUAUACACCAUUGAAGAAAUAUCUAACCUUCCAGCGUCAUCUUUUCAGGGAGGAGCAACCUUCAGCACUAUCGCAAAAGUAGCAUCAAUUAUACCGUCAGUCAAAUGGUACUACAAAGCAUGCAAGCGUUGUGGAAAAGGAUAUAACAACAUGACAGAUACCCCAACAUGUGGCUGCCAAUUUCCAGUUCCAUGCCCAAUGUACAAACUUCCCCUUACACUAACAGAUAACUCGGGAAGUUUGGAUGCAAUUGCUUUCGCUAGAGUAGCUGAAGACUUAGUUGAGCGUCAUGCUGAUCAUGUUUCAAUGAGUAUGAAGAUAGAAGCUACAGAUCAUGUGCUUACCCUGGAUAAGGCCAUUGGUAAAGAAAAGUUAUUCUACAUAGGAAUGAACACUGAUUCGUCUGCCAAGUACCCUAUAACUUAUGUCCUGAAAAAAAGUUUCUCUGUCAACAAUACUGAAUCAACACCUUUUCCACGUGCUCCAAAGGUAAGCAACUUCUUACAGAUUC